AUGUACCAGAAUCAGUGGAUCCACCUACUUCCGAGGAGGCGUUUUGACCAUGGAUGCCAAACGUCAAGAGCAUCUCAGUGGAUCCCAACGGUAACUCAAAACUGUUUCUCAAGUCAAACCCUCAAAAGCAACAUUUACCACAGUAAAACUGUGGACUGUUUUUAUUAUGCUUCGAGAUGGCUCCGUAAGAUUGCAUGAAGCUGGUUCAUGCUUUCCUGGGAAUAAUCCUCAAACUCCAUAAGCCACAAAUUAAAGUUGUUCAGAAAUUCUCACAGCGUGUCAAAGGUUCAACUCACCCCAAUGAAUGAAGUUUCCAGUGUUUCUAUAUCCUCGAAAUAAAGACGUCAAAGCAAUUAAUCCUCUCCAAAUUCCUGUAUGAACAACAUACAGGGGUGAAUGUACCACAUUUUUUCUGUAAUGUAAUAUAAUAUAUUUAUUGUAAUAUAUAUGACAGAUUCUGAUUAUUUUGGUUAAGAAGUAUAUUUAUACUCAUCAUUGAAACCCAUUUUAAUUACAACAUAUUUUUGCUAAAACAAAGCUGAUAAACAUAUGGGUAGAGAUGUAAAUGAGUGCUUUUGAUAAGAUGGUGUUUCCACACCAUACAUUAUCUUUAAUUACAGACUUAUUGGAAGCCUAGACAGAUUUUCCCAUCUACUACACGGUAAUACUGAAAUAUUUAGGAACUGGAACGUCACACAGUAAAGAUAAUUACAUACUAGUUUUGCAUAUUCAAAUUUGUCUCUACAGUCACAUACAUAUUCAUAUCUGAGUAGAGUUGCUUGUUGCAAAACUUUGAUUUUUAAGGCCCAGUUCUUACUGCACUGCAUGUAUCCUUUAUGAUAAACACAAUCCCAGAAUGCUUUGCGACAAACUUAGUGAAUAAUACAUGAUUAAGGAUGACGUGAGAUAAAUGAUGGUUAAACCAUUCAAUACUGGACAAACGUGUGAAAAAAGUUAAAUCUACUACAAACUGAAUGUUUAUUUUUAUGCUUUUCACAGUAUCAGACUGAUAGAUUAGCAACAUGUUAAUAGCAAACUAUAAGAAUCAACUGUCGGAUCUCCAGAGUUCAGGUUUGCCCUGCUGACAUAAACAUAAUUAACCAGCCUAUAUGGUUUUCUGAUCUUAGUUGGUGUAUUUUCAGUCCAGCAGACCAUCUUAUGCUGGUUUAAUUAGGUUUUGGUGCCUAUAGAAAGCAUUCCAAAACAGGUUCCAUGAUGGCUAGGAUACUUGCUAAGAAGGCAGCUGCCUAUGGUCCCGUUUACACUAGUGCAUUUUCGUUUUAAAAUGGUGUUUACGAUCCUCGUCUACACUGGCGUUUCCGCUGUGUUUCAGAAACGAUCUCCGUUUACACUACACAACCUAAAACGCAUGUCACGUGACCAUUCAUGCAGGUACAGCCAUAGAUAUGAAUAGGUAGAUUCCCUGUUAUUUAGAUCAUGGACGCGUCUACGUGCUUGCAGCGAUCGAAUGGGGAAUCUACCUAUACAUCUAUGGGUACAACAAUGUGCAUGAUGUUACUGAAAAUGGGCAGCCAAGCCAUCGUUUUCAAAAGUCUCCAUUUUGGUCCAUUUACACUGAAAUGCAACCCCUGAGUUUUCAAACUAAAACGGGGUCUGCAGCGUUUUCAAGAGUCUUUGAAACGAAAACGCCGGAGUAGUGUAAACGAUAGGUGUAACCGUAGCAAAAGUUAUUGUUGCCGGAGGUCUCUACAGGGAGCUGGUAGAGUCUCUGAGCUAGAAAGGUGUUGACGUAGGUUCUCAGUGCGUGUGGGAAGGGUUUCUGAUUGAGGCAGACUCUUAUUCAUGAAAAAUGAACAUGCUAUGGGAAAACUCAACAAUUCAGCCACCCUUUUGAGAAAGGAGGAAAGAGAAAGCGUGGUGAGGUUACGAUGUUCAGAUGUGUUUUUCAGAGGGAGUUAUGAGUGUUACUGUACGACUGUCUUCUGUGGAAUGCAAAAGGAGAGAUUUUGAUGAAUGUUCAUGCUGCAUUGUAUGCAUGAAAAUCACAACCAGGAGCCUUCCAACUCCUGAAUGAUGACAGAAUUAAAAUUUUUAAGUAAUUUGCAACUUUUUAUCUUACAUUAGUGAUUAUGUUCCUCAUAAUCAUCCUCCAACUCAUUAUUGGAAGAUUUUUUCCCUCAUAACUCCAAUUUCCCAGUCGCGUAAUUGGGACUUUCUUUCUUGUCAACUUUAUUUCACAAAAUUAACAUUCUAUUCUCACAAUUUACUUUCUUGCAAUUUGUGCAUAUUUCUCAUAUUUGCAUUUCUCACAAAUGCAAUUUUAUUUUUGAUAAUUGCAUUUAUUUUUUUUAUUUUUUUUCGUGUAUUGUAACUUUAUAUCUUGCAAUAUGUCUUUAUAUCUCACAAUUGGAAGAUGUUUUCCUUGUAAAUCCAAGUUUUUCUUAUUUUUUUCUCCCUCAAAAUUUAGAUUUUAAUUCCACAAUUUUCUUUCUUGCAACUGUGAAUAUUUCUUGUAAUUGCAUUUUUAUUACAAUAGCAACAUUAUUUUUGAGAAUUGCAAUUUUAUUUCUAAUAAUGUAAAUUUAUGUCUCACAACUUGUUACAUCCCACAAUCCAGU
Cyprinus carpio carpio is the source of this 2579-nucleotide long non-coding RNA. NCBI's taxonomy places the organism in Eukaryota, Metazoa, Chordata, Actinopteri, Cypriniformes, Cyprinidae. The record is from Ensembl.